Molecule: ribosomal RNA, 396 nt
Filed under: uncultured bacterium
Lineage: Bacteria
Description: bacterial SSU rRNA
Rfam family: Bacterial small subunit ribosomal RNA
Source: RNAcentral
UGGGGAAUUUUACGCAAUGGGGGAAACCCUGACGUAGCGACACCGCGUGAGCGAAGAAGCCUUUUGGGGUGUAAAGCUCUGUCAGCUGGAACGAACACAAUGACGGUACCAGCAGAGGAAGCAUCGGCUAACUACGUGCCAGCAGCCGCGGUAAGACGUAGGAUGCAAGCGUUGUCCGGAUUCAUUGGGCGUAAAGAGUUCGUAGGUGGUCUGUUAAGUUUGGUGUUAAAGAGCGGGGCCCAACCCCGAUAGUGCACUGAAUACUGGCAGACUUGAGUGCGGUAGAGGUAAGUGGAAUUCCAAGUGUAGCGGUGAAAUGCAUAGAUAUUUGGAAGAACACCGGUGGCGUAAGCGACUUACUGGGCCGUAACUGACACUGAGGAACGAAAGCCGGGG